Long non-coding RNA from Hippocampus comes (tiger tail seahorse), 549 nucleotides. RefSeq lists it as uncharacterized. The record is from RefSeq and is a predicted model, not a curated record. NCBI's taxonomy places the organism in Eukaryota, Metazoa, Chordata, Actinopteri, Syngnathiformes, Syngnathidae. The transcript has 4 exons.
GUAACAGUUCUGAGACCAGUGUGUCCAAUAUCUCAGGAUUGGACCUCUUGCCAUACCUUGGGAGACCAAGAAACCGGAAUGAGACGGAAUCAAGCAAGGAUUAUAGAUCGAAGCUUCAGUAAAACAGACCAACGCAGCAUGUGCAGAUUAUUGCAUCCCCGCAGGAUAUCAUGACUCCUUGCCUGCUCCUCAAACGAUAAGUGAACUUAACCCUUGCUGCCCGGAGAAGCAAAUUAUCAACACAUCCACACAAAUUCAAGAUGUGUGGGGGGGGGGGGAGAAAAAUAAAAGCCUACUCACGCAAUCCACUAGCUUCCAAAGCAAUGUAACCAUCCACCAAGGAGCUGAAGUCGGUCAGUCCGCCCAUUGCAGCAUAAGGGACAUCUCCUCCCACGGGGCGACCUCGUGCCACCCUCUCGGACUUUGUCUCAACCUGACAGGGUCUGGUGAUUAUAGGUGGGCUGGCCACAUCCACAUGUGUACGGACUCCUGAACUCAGAACAGUCACCUGAAAAGGAAAUGUUUUGUGAUGUGUCUACACAAGUCUGU